This 253-nucleotide ribosomal RNA is filed under the name uncultured bacterium. RNAcentral describes it as "partial 16S ribosomal RNA". It matches the Rfam family "Bacterial small subunit ribosomal RNA", at positions 524 to 776 of the family's 1533-position model. The record is from RNAcentral.
UACGUAGGGCGCAAGCGUUGUCCGGAAUUAUUGGGCGUAAAGAGCUCGUAGGUGGCUUGUCACGUCGGGUGUGAAAACUUGGGGCUUAACCCCAAGCCUGCUUCCGAUACGGGCGGACUAGAGGUAGGCAGGGGAGAACGGAAUUCCUGGUGUAGCGGUGAAAUGCGCAGAUAUCAGGAGGAACACCGGUGGCGAAGGCGGUUCUCUGGGCCUUACCUGACGCUGAGGAGCGAAAGCGUGGGGAGCAAACAGG